This 387-nucleotide RNase P RNA is filed under the name Acidobacteriota bacterium. Its description in RNAcentral is "Acidobacteria bacterium RNase P RNA component class A". It matches the Rfam family "Bacterial RNase P class A". Rfam says of the family: Ribonuclease P (RNase P) is a ubiquitous endoribonuclease, found in archaea, bacteria and eukarya as well as chloroplasts and mitochondria. Its best characterised activity is the generation of mature 5'-ends of tRNAs by cleaving the 5'-leader elements of precursor-tRNAs. Lineage: Bacteria; Pseudomonadati; Acidobacteriota. The record is from RNAcentral.
CAGCCGGACCGGACGGUCGCUCUCCGCAAGGAGGGAGGAAAGUCCGAACUCCGCAGGGCAGUGUGCCGGAUAACGUCCGGGAAGCCGGGUUCAAGCCCGGUUGACGGAAAGUGCCACAGAAAACAUACCGCCUCGCUUAUGGCGAGGUAAGGGUGAAAAGGUGCGGUAAGAGCGCACCGCCGCGGCAGUAAUGUCGCGGGCAGGGCAAACCCCACACGGAGCAAGACCAAAUAGGGAGGGAAUUUCAGCUUCGGCUGGAACACGUGCCGGCCCGGUGCGUCCCAACCUCCGGGUAGGUCGCUAGAGCCAUGCAGUAAUGCGUGGCCCAGAGGAAUGACCGUCCCGCCGCAAGGCGGACAAAAUUCGGCUUACAGGUCCGGCUGCCAC